GGCGGCGCCAAGGGGUGUCUGCCGCAUGCAGACUGAGAUGUCUCAGGACGAACCCUUAGAACCUGAUCCGGCUGAUACCGGCGUAGGAAUGGGCUGAUACUGCAAA
RNAcentral lists this non-coding RNA (106 nucleotides) under Shewanella amazonensis. RNAcentral's name for it is "TPP sequence". It matches the Rfam family "TPP riboswitch aptamer (THI element)". Rfam says of the family: Vitamin B(1) in its active form thiamin pyrophosphate (TPP) is an essential coenzyme that is synthesised by coupling of pyrimidine and thiazole moieties in bacteria. RNAcentral also lists the same sequence under 1 other name. Lineage: Bacteria; Pseudomonadati; Pseudomonadota; Gammaproteobacteria; Alteromonadales; Shewanellaceae. The record is from RNAcentral.